This 690-nucleotide long non-coding RNA is filed under the name Brassica napus (rape). Its description in RNAcentral is "long non-coding RNA (BNAP_LNC003639)". Lineage: Eukaryota; Viridiplantae; Streptophyta; Magnoliopsida; Brassicales; Brassicaceae. The record is from RNAcentral.
AUACUCAUCUAUCAACAAAAAUUCUUGUUAUCCUAAUUUCUAAAUCACAACCUCAAAUAUACAAUAUUUCUAUAAAAAAUGAAAACUUUCCUAAAAUAGAAUUUUUGAAAAUUAUUUAAAAAAAAUACAACUAUUGAUCAAAAAAUCUAAAAGAAUACACAUUUAUCAACAAAAAUUCUUCUUAUCGAAAUUUCUAAAUCAGAACCCCAAAACUACAAUAGUUUUCAAUAAAAAUAAAAACUUUCCUUAAAUAGAAUUUUAGACAAUUUAUCUAAAAUAUACAACCUAUUGAUAAAAAAAAUCUUAAAGAAUACACAUCUAUCAACAAAAAAUUUUGUUAUCCUCAUUUCUAAAUCAGAACCUGAAAACUACAAUAGUUCUCAAUAAAAAUAAAAAAUUUACUUAUAUAGAAUUUUUGAGAAUUUUAUCUAAAAUAUACAACCUAUUGAUAAAAAAAUCUUAAAAAUACUCAUCUAUCAACAAAAAUUCUUGUUAUUCUAAUUUCUAAAUCACAACCCCAAAUCAACAAAAUUUCUAUUAAAAAGUAAAACUUUCCUAAAAUAGAAUUUUUGAGAAUUUUAUCUAAAAAAUACAACUUAUUGAUCAAAAACCUAAAAUAAUACACAUCUACCAACAAAAAUUCUUGUUAUCCUAAUUUAUAAAUCACAAUCUCAAAUCUACAAUAUUUCU